GGAUCGUCGCCCUCUGGGGACCCCAUCCAAGCAACCCACCCCCCCCCAAAAAAAAGACGUCAGGACUGUCCGCAGGGAUCCGCAUCCCUCGGAGCGCAUCACCCCCGCCCAUGUACAUCUGCCAAAAUGCGUUGCGAAAGCAAGCUGACAAAACAGCCUCUUUCUAAACCUGGAUGACCUCUGUGCGAAGCAGGCAGCACGUUUGCUGGAAGGGCAUUUGAUGCACAGUGCAGGAAAGCCACCCUGCCGGUGGGAACGUGGCAGAUCUGCCGGGAGAAAAGUCUCCUCAAUUCAGCAGAUACUCAUUUUCCAGAAGGAUGUGAUCUUCUCUCAGGCAUAUUUUUAUUUCUCCUAUAAGACCUGGAUGCUUACGUGAGCUUAUUUGAUAAACCACAUUCCUGACUGCAGAUUAUUUCCCUAGCUAAGAAGAGUUAUAAUGACUCACUCAGUUAUUCAACAAAGAGACCUGACCAGGCUGAACUGUGCCAUGCCUUCGGUUUGCCGUUGCUGACAGACCCGAGGAGCCCUUUAAACUCCCAUGUGCCCCAUAAGCCAGAGUUCUGUGGGUGACUGAGCGGAGACAGAUGGCUGCUGCCGCCUCCCCCUGGCUUCUGCUGGGCAGCCAUGAGCCCAUGAUGCGCGCUUCUUGGCUGACAUUCCAUAAGCAAUGCUUGCUAAACCUGCACAGAUCUCAGGAAGAGUUCCAGAACAAUAAAAAUUAUAUCACAGGGCUUCACUGUGAGUUAAGCCCAUCUUGCAGGAUGACCCUGCACCCAUCAGGCUGCAUUUCAACUGUCACACACUUGUGCAUCAUGAUUAAGUGAAUGAGUUUUGCCAAAACAAUUCCACAGGCUAUGAUAUAUAAUUUUAAUUUACUUUUUCACAAUUGAGAUGGACAUCCAGAAUUAUGCAAUAUGCAGCAAAAUGAAAUUUUCCUAAGUAUAGCAACAGUGCCUGCUGUGCGUUUGCUCAGCCUGCCCAACAACGUCUAACAGAUCGUCAGCCACUAGUGAUGCAGCAGGGGAUGGUUUUUCUGUUUAUUUGUAUUUAUUUACAGAGUAUCCCAAUGGUAAUGAUAUAAAUCACUUGCAGGGAAAGGUAAUAUUAGUAAUGUAUUUCUAAAUAUCUUUCAAAUUGUUUUAGCAGGAAAAAAAGCUGGCACAAUAUGAAAAAUAACUGACUGCGCAUUGCAAGAGUUUAAGAACCAGGGAUCUAAUGUUUGGUACAAGAAACUUUGUAUCUGAAAUCCUGUAUCCUAAUGAUGAAUUUGUCAUUUGGUCUGAUGCCAAUCACUUUGGGUGUGGUUGUCUUUAUUUGUUGAAUGUGUUGGUGAUGUUCAGCUCUCUUAACUGUUGCUGUACACAGCCUUAAGAAUGUAAAAUGACAUAUAGUUGCCAAAUACUAUUAAAGACAUAUUGGAUCUGUUUCUACAAGUAUUGUGUUAUGUUUUAUAGGCAGUACUCUGAAGUAGAGUGAAGUGGAGUAUGUGUAUUACUUUUUUGGUUGCAGAUCUCACUCAUCCAUUUUGCAAAGAUGGCCAAGGCCAUUCAGGCACCACUGUAUAGAUGAAAAAGUGCAAGGAAGAUGAAGCCCAACUUUUCAAAACUGCCACCUAAUUUUCUGUCUUGAAGUUUGGCAGUUCAUUUUUAGCUGCUUAGCAGUGAGCACUGACACCGGUUAGAGCUGCUCUCCUUGAACUUUGUUAAAAAUAAACAAAUUCAUGUCUAAGUCUGGACUCCUCCCCCCCAAAACAGAAAUUUGUGGACUUUAAAAACAGGUCCUAAAUCUCAUAAUGAGCUGAUGACACUCAAAGAUACGCCUCCAGUCUGUAUCCUAAGUGUGUGCUCAGUCCACCCAUCAAACUGUCCUAACAAUGAACUCUCGAGCGAAGACCACUGUGAAUACCAUUCUCCUGCUGCAUAAUCCAUGAUAAAGAUUUCUCUAUUUAAUACAUAAUAUCAGGGUUUAUUAAUCUGUGUUAUUUUUAGUUGGAGAAAAGUGCAAAUUUAUAUAUUUAAUGUGCUGAAAUAGGGUGGUUAGCACCAUAUUGCAUCUUCACCCCUUACUAGUUUAUUUCCUUACUGAACAGUACGUCUAGAAAAAAAAAAA
Meleagris gallopavo (turkey) is the source of this 2109-nucleotide non-coding RNA. NCBI's taxonomy places the organism in Eukaryota, Metazoa, Chordata, Aves, Galliformes, Phasianidae. The record is from RefSeq and is a predicted model, not a curated record.